RNAcentral lists this ribosomal RNA (498 nucleotides) under uncultured bacterium. RNAcentral describes it as "partial 16S ribosomal RNA". It matches the Rfam family "Bacterial small subunit ribosomal RNA", at positions 30 to 523 of the family's 1533-position model. The record is from RNAcentral.
AUUGAACGCUGGCGGCAUGCCUUACACAUGCAAGUCGAACGGUAACAGGUCUUCGGAUGCUGACGAGUGGCGAACGGGUGAGUAAUACAUCGGAACGUGCCCGAUCGUGGGGGAUAACGAAGCGAAAGCUUUGCUAAUACCGCAUACGAUCUACGGAUGAAAGCAGGGGACCGCAAGGCCUUGCGCGAACGGAGCGGCCGAUGGCAGAUUAGGUAGUUGGUGGGAUAAAAGCUUACCAAGCCGACGAUCUGUAGCUGGUCUGAGAGGACGACCAGCCAAACUGGGACUGAGACACGGCCCAGACUCCUACGGGAGGCAGCAGUGGGGAAUUUUGGACAAUGGGCGAAAGCCUGAUUCAGCCAUGCCGCGUGCAGGAUGAAGGCCUUCGGGUUGUAAACUGCUUUUGUACGGAACGAAAAGACUCUGGUUAAUACCUGGGGUCCAUGACGGUACCGUAAGAAUAAGCACCGGCUAACUACGUGCCAGCAGCCGCGGUAA